This 428-nucleotide ribosomal RNA is filed under the name uncultured bacterium. Its description in RNAcentral is "bacterial SSU rRNA". It matches the Rfam family "Bacterial small subunit ribosomal RNA", at positions 8 to 454 of the family's 1533-position model. The record is from RNAcentral.
AGAGUUUGAUCCUGGCUCAGGAUGAACGCUGGCGGUAUGCCUAACACAUGCAAGUCGUACGAGAGUUUUUAACUCUAGUGGCGGGCGGGUGAGUAACACGUAAGAAUUUACCUUCAGGAGGGGGAUAACAAUUGGAAACAAAUGCUAAUACCCCAUAUGCUUUCGAGUGAAAUGGAUUUAUAUUUAUCCGCCUAAAGAGAAGCUUGCGUCUGAUUAGCUUGUUGGCAAGGUAAAAGCUUACCAAGGCGACGAUCAGUAUCUGGUUUGAGAGGACGAUCAGACACACUGGAACUGAGACACGGUCCAGACUCCUACGGGAGGCAGCAGUGGGGAAUUUUCCGCAAUGGGCGAAAGCCUGACGGAGCAAUACCGCGUGAGGGAAGACUGCCUAUGGGUNGUAAACCUCUUUUUUCACGGGAGGAACAAAA